This 593-nucleotide ribosomal RNA is filed under the name Mystacoleucus marginatus. RNAcentral describes it as "partial 16S ribosomal RNA". It matches the Rfam family "Bacterial large subunit ribosomal RNA", at positions 1810 to 2603 of the family's 2925-position model. The record is from RNAcentral. Lineage: Eukaryota; Metazoa; Chordata; Actinopteri; Cypriniformes; Cyprinidae.
AAAACAUCGCCUCCUGCAACACAACCAAGUAUAGGAGGUCCAGCCUGCCCGGUGACUACAAGUUUAACGGCCGCGGUAUUUUGACCGUGCAAAGGUAGCGUAAUCACUUGUCUUCUAAAUAAAGACCUGUAUGAAUGGCCAAACGAGGGCUUAACUGUCUCCCCUUUCCAGUCAGUGAAAUUGAUCUGCCCGUGCAGAAGCGGACAUAAUAAUACAAGACGAGAAGACCCUUUGGAGCUUAAGGUACAAAACUCAACCACGUAAAGCAACUCAAUAAAAAGAACAAACUUUGUGGAACAUGAAAUUUUACCUUCGGUUGGGGCGACCACGGAGAAAAAUAAAUCCUCCAAGUGGAUUGGGAUUAAACCCCCUAAAACCAAGAGAGACAUCUCCAAGCCACAGAACAUCUGACCAAACAUGAUCCGGCUAAUAAAGCCGAUCAACGGACCAAGUUACCCUAGGGAUAACAGCGCAAUCCUCUCCCAGAGUCCAUAUCGACGAGGGGGUUUACGACCUCGAUGUUGGAUCAGGACAUCCUAAUGGUGCAGCCGCUAUUAAGGGUUCGUUUGUUCAACGAUUAAAGUCCUACGUGA